UGGGAUUACAGGCGCCCGCCACCACGCCCGGCUAAUUUUUUGUAUUUUUAGUAGAGACAGGGUUUCACUGUAUUAGCAUGCUAAGAAUACACAACUAAAAUCAGAGCUAAUGACAAUACAAUUACUAGGUAGUAGCAACUGGAAUAUUAAAUUCUAUCAUGACAACACCAGAAACACUUGUACAAGCUUCUUCAAAUGAUCAAUGUAAUCUGUCCACAAAAAUCUCUGACAAGCCACAAAGUAGAAAUGAAAGACGUUAAUAUUAGGAUAAGGAGCGAUGCUGCCAAAACACGUCAACAGUGGCCAGUCUACGUGUAUUAUUAGAUUUUUACAUGGAGUUGCAGGUAAAUAAAAGAUGAUUGUGUAAAAUCUUCUGGAGGUCAUAAGUAAUCUAGCAGUGUGACACAGGGCCACAUAUGGUUUC
RNAcentral lists this long non-coding RNA (424 nucleotides) under Pan troglodytes (chimpanzee). RNAcentral describes it as "long non-coding RNA NONPTRT007279". Lineage: Eukaryota; Metazoa; Chordata; Mammalia; Primates; Hominidae. The record is from RNAcentral.